GACGUAGGAGGCGAGCGUUGUCCGGAUUCAUUGGACGUAAAGAGCACGCAGGCGGUUUGGCAAGUCGGAUGUGAAAACCCGGAGCUCAACUCCGGACCUGCAUCCGAAACUGCCCGACUAGAGGUAGGUAGGGGAGAUCGGAAUUCCUGGUGUAGCGGUGAAAUGCGCAGAUAUCAGGAGGAACACCGGUGGCGAAGGCGGAUCUCUGGGCCUUACCUGACGCUCAGGUGCGAAAGCUAGGGGAGCGAACAGG
RNAcentral lists this ribosomal RNA (253 nucleotides) under uncultured bacterium. Its description in RNAcentral is "partial 16S ribosomal RNA". It matches the Rfam family "Bacterial small subunit ribosomal RNA", at positions 524 to 776 of the family's 1533-position model. The record is from RNAcentral.